RNAcentral lists this ribosomal RNA (425 nucleotides) under uncultured bacterium. RNAcentral describes it as "bacterial SSU rRNA". It matches the Rfam family "Bacterial small subunit ribosomal RNA", at positions 354 to 777 of the family's 1533-position model. The record is from RNAcentral.
GUGAGGAAUAUUGGUCAAUGGGCGGGAGCCUGAACCAGCCAAGUAGCGUGAAGGAUGACGGCCCUACGGGUUGUAAACUUCUUUUAUAAGGGAAUAAAGUUCGCCACGUGUGGUGUUUUGUAUGUACCUUAUGAAUAAGCAUCGGCUAAUUCCGUGCCAGCAGCCGCGGUAAUACGGAAGAUGCGAGCGUUAUCCGGAUUUAUUGGGUUUAAAGGGAGCGUAGGCGGGCUUUUAAGUCAGCGGUCAAAUGCCACGGCUCAACCGUGGCCAGCCGUUGAAACUGCAAGCCUUGAGUCUGCACAGGGCACAUGGAAUUCGUGGUGUAGCGGUGAAAUGCUUAGAUAUCACGAAGAACUCCGAUCGCGAAGGCAUUGUGCCGGGGCAGCACUGACGCUGAGGCUCGAAAGUGCGGGUAUCAAACAGGA